Long non-coding RNA from Phyllostomus discolor (pale spear-nosed bat), 523 nucleotides. RefSeq lists it as uncharacterized. The record is from RefSeq and is a predicted model, not a curated record. Lineage: Eukaryota; Metazoa; Chordata; Mammalia; Chiroptera; Phyllostomidae. The transcript has 3 exons.
CACUGAGACACAUAUAUUCUUUAGGGACCAAGUGGGAGAGCAGGCAGAUGAGGAAAUAAAGCUGAGUAGAGAGUGGUGAUUAGAAGCACCUAAGAGGAAGAAGCACAUGCAGUUUUCAGCAUUAUCUGUGAGGAAGGUUGCAGAGAUGAUCUGGUUCCAGGCCUGACCUUUUCCAGGGAGACAUGGUUCAGCCCCUUCACUUUGCUUGAGGAAAGUGUCACUGCCAACUGCUCAACUGAUUCCUCUGGAGGACGCAGCAAAGUGCAACACCAUCCAUAAUGAAUGAGCCCAUUUCCUGUGCAAAUCAGCUGCGGGGCCCUCAUCCACUGCAGGAAGGGGCAUCGGGGAAGCGUUGUUUGAGAGUGAAGUUCCCACUGGCAACAGCCUGUGCCAGGCCACCUUGCAGCUGCCAGUCCUGCCUUCACACAGAACCUGCAGCAAUGGGGCACCACUGCCCCCUUCUGGGAGGCCGGAAUAGCCCAAGAGGACUGGGCUUCCGUAGGAGCACCAGGUUAGCCCUUAG